CAGUGCCGCGGUAAUACAGAGGGUGCGAGCGUUAAUCGGAUUUACUGGGCGUAAAGCGUGCGUAGGCGGCUUCUUAAGUCGGAUGUGAAAUCCCUGAGCUUAACUUAGGAAUUGCAUUCGAUACUGGGAAGCUAGAGUAUGGGAGAGGAUGGUAGAAUUCCAGGUGUAGCGGUGAAAUGCGUAGAGAUCUGGAGGAAUACCGAUGGCGAAGGCAGCCAUCUGGCCUAAUACUGACGCUGAGGUACGAAAGCAUGGGGAGCAAACAGGAUUAGAUACCCCCGUAGCCCUGUCUCUUAUACAC
This 301-nucleotide ribosomal RNA is filed under the name uncultured bacterium. RNAcentral describes it as "partial 16S ribosomal RNA". It matches the Rfam family "Bacterial small subunit ribosomal RNA", at positions 509 to 810 of the family's 1533-position model. The record is from RNAcentral.